RNAcentral lists this microRNA (22 nucleotides) under Columba livia (rock pigeon). RNAcentral's name for it is "cli-miR-1451-3p". Lineage: Eukaryota; Metazoa; Chordata; Aves; Columbiformes; Columbidae. The record is from miRBase by way of RNAcentral.
AGUAACUUGCUCCUGUGAGAGG